AAUCCCAUACAAAAUGUUAGUAAACGCCAAACGCGUUCACGAUCGAAUGUGAAACAAAAAACUCACACUCGGCACACGGCAUAAAAAUAACACUG
Long non-coding RNA from Aricia agestis (brown argus), 95 nucleotides. RefSeq lists it as uncharacterized. The record is from RefSeq and is a predicted model, not a curated record. The transcript has 3 exons. NCBI's taxonomy places the organism in Eukaryota, Metazoa, Arthropoda, Insecta, Lepidoptera, Lycaenidae.